This 420-nucleotide long non-coding RNA is filed under the name Homo sapiens (human). RNAcentral describes it as "HSALNT0278142". The record is from RNAcentral. Lineage: Eukaryota; Metazoa; Chordata; Mammalia; Primates; Hominidae.
GGGAGGUGGAGGGAAUAGCAGCAGAGAGACAGACGGGGAGCCACUGCGUGUGUGAUCCUGGCUGACGUGGAUUGCCUGGGAGGAAGGCAUGUGGCUGGAACCAGGGAGAUCACUCCAGAGCCUGUGCACCAAAGGUGCUGCGAGGUUUGAGGAAGGAGAGAGGGACAAUGAUCGGGAAGAAGCAACGAGGAACUUGGGAGAGCCCGACCCCAUCUCCAGCCUUUUGGGACAGGGAGCCUGGAAGGAAAAAGCAGCCUCCUUGAAGGGUUGAAAGGAAGCUGUGUCCUCACUCAGGGAAGAGUCAGGACAAGCUCCAUGGAGGAUGUGGGCAAAACACCAUCUUUUUCUUUUCUUUUGAGACAGUUUCCUUUUGUCUCCCAGGCUGGUGCGUGCAGUGGCACCAUCUCGGCUCACUGCAAC